RNAcentral lists this ribosomal RNA (1382 nucleotides) under uncultured bacterium. RNAcentral describes it as "bacterial SSU rRNA". It matches the Rfam family "Bacterial small subunit ribosomal RNA". The record is from RNAcentral.
GAAUUCGCCCUUAGAGUUUGAUCCUGGCUCAGGACGAACGCUGGCGGCGCGCCUAACACAUGCAAGUCGAACGAGCGAGAGAGAGCUUGCUUUCUCGAGCGAGUGGCGAACGGGUGAGUAACGCGUGAGGAACCUGCCUCAAAGAGGGGGACAACAGUUGGAAACGACUGCUAAUACCGCAUAAGCCCACGGCUCGGCAUCGAGCAGAGGGAAAAGGAGCAAUCCGCUUUGAGAUGGCCUCGCGUCCGAUUAGCUAGUUGGUGAGGUAAUGGCCCACCAAGGCGACGAUCGGUAGCCGGACUGAGAGGUUGAACGGCCACAUUGGGACUGAGACACGGCCCAGACUCCUACGGGAGGCAGCAGUGGGGAAUAUUGCACAAUGGGGGAAACCCUGAUGCAGCGACGCCGCGUGGAGGAAGAAGGUCUUCGGAUUGUAAACUCCUGUUGUUGGGGAAGAUAAUGACGGUACCCAACAAGGAAGUGACGGCUAACUACGUGCCAGCAGCCGCGGUAAAACGUAGGUCACAAGCGUUGUCCGGAAUUACUGGGUGUAAAGGGAGCGCAGGCGGGAAGACAAGUUGGAAGUGAAAUCUAUGGGCUCAACCCAUAAACUGCUUUCAAAACUGUUUUUCUUGAGUAGUGCAGAGGUAGGCGGAAUUCCCGGUGUAGCGGUGGAAUGCGUAGAUAUCGGGAGGAACACCAGUGGCGAAGGCGGCCUACUGAGCACCAACUGACGCUGAGGCUCGAAAGUGUGGGUAGCAAACAGGAUUAGAUACCCUGGUAGUCCACACCGUAAACGAUGAUUACUAGGUGUUGGAGGAUUGACCCCUUCAGUGCCGCAGUUAACACAAUAAGUAAUCCACCUGGGGAGUACGACCGCAAGGUUGAAACUCAAAGGAAUUGACGGGGGCCCGCACAAGCAGUGGAGUAUGUGGUUUAAUUCGACGCAACGCGAAGAACCUUACCAAGUCUUGACAUCCCUUGACAGGCAUAGAAAUAUGUUUUCUCUUCGGAGCGAGGAGACAGGUGGUGCAUGGUUGUCGUCAGCUCGUGUCGUGAGAUGUUGGGUUAAGUCCCGCAACGAGCGCAACCCUUAUGGUCAGUUACUACGCAAGAGGACUCUGGCCAGACUGCCGUUGACAAAACGGAGGAAGGUGGGGAUGACGUCAAAUCAUCAUGCCCUUUAUGACUUGGGCUACACACGUACUACAAUGGCGUUAAACAAAGAGAAGCAAGACCGCGAGGUGGAGCAAAACUCAGAAACAACGUCCCAGUUCGGACUGCAGGCUGCAACUCGCCUGCACGAAGUCGGAAUUGCUAGUAAUCGUGGAUCAGCAUGCCACGGUGAAUACGUUCCCGGGCCUUGCACACACCGCCCGUCA